UACGUAGGGUGCAAGCGUUGUCCGGAAUUAUUGGGCGUAAAGAGCUCGUAGGCGGUUUGUCGCGUCUGCUGUGAAAACCCGAGGCUCAACCCCGGGCCUGCAGUGGGUACGGGCAGACUAGAGUGCGGUAGGGGAGAUUGGAAUUCCUGGUGUAGCGGUGGAAUGCGCAGAUAUCAGGAGGAACACCGGUGGCGAAGGCGGGUCUCUGGGCCGGAACUGACGCUGAGGAGCGAAAGCAUGGGGAGCGAACAGG
Molecule: ribosomal RNA, 253 nt
Filed under: uncultured bacterium
Lineage: Bacteria
Description: partial 16S ribosomal RNA
Rfam family: Bacterial small subunit ribosomal RNA
Source: RNAcentral